GAUCAAAUACUUUUUCCCCCUCACUCUUUUUUGGAAAGGAAAGAAUAAGGUGCAGUGGUCUCUUCAUUUUUUUCCAGAGAUGUGUGUGUAUAUAUAUAUGAGUUAAAUGAUGUGAGGCGCUGUGUAAAUUACUUAUUGCACUGGAAUCUGAGGCACAGAGAGAACAAAACAUUCAGUUGAUGUUAAACUACCGAACUGACAUAGCAAUGCUCCAUGCAAAUAAAAUGGAGCAAAAUAAGUCUUUCUAGUGAGACCGUGCUGACGGACCAGAACCGUAUCCACAGUGUUGUAGUGAGACCAUGGUGAUGGACCAGAACCGUAUCCACAGAGGUUUAGUGAGACAUUGGUGACGGACCAGAACCGUAUCCACAGAGGUUUAGUGAGACAUUGGUGAUGGACCAGAACCGUAUCCACAGAGUACCUAAAGAAGUCAGCACUUUUUGACUAAGUUGAUUAUUACCCUGUUGAUUAGUUCUCCUGGGUUCUGAACCCUGUUGAUUAGUUCUCCUGGGUUCUGAACCCUGUUGAUUAGUUCACCUGGGUUCUGAACCCUGUUGAUUAGUUCACCUGGGUUCUGAACCCUGUUGAUUAGUUCUCCUGGGUUCUGAACCCUGUUGAUUAGUUCUCCUGGGUUCUGAACCCUGUUGAUUAGUUCUCCUGGGUUCUGAACCCUGUUGAUUAGUUCUCCUGGGUUCUGAACCCUGUUGAUUAGUUCACCUGGGUUCUGAACCCUGUUGAUUAGUUCUCCUGGGUUCUGAACCCUGUUGAUUAGUUCUCCUGGGUUCUGAACCCGGUACAUUAGUUCUCCUGGGUUCUGAACCCCGUUGAGCAGUUGACCUGGGCUCUAAACACUUGUUUCACAUAAAGUGUCUCCAUUCUGUGAGUAGGACUUUGGUCAGAUUGGACCACAUUGCUCUGUACUGAAACUGAUUAUUGACUUGACCCAUUCAUUUAACAUGAUUCCAAUGUUAUUUUCUUCUUGUACUGGUAAUGUGCAUUACAUAACUUAUUGUUUGUUGUCUAUUUAUUUUUAAUGUUUGUUGUCUAGGAGAAAUAUUUAUUCCAAUUGAAUUGAAAUCAUGUCAAUUCUUCUGAAUGCAUUUUGAAUAAAAUGAUAUUUAAAGCUGA
Molecule: long non-coding RNA, 1128 nt
Organism: Esox lucius (northern pike)
Lineage: Eukaryota; Metazoa; Chordata; Actinopteri; Esociformes; Esocidae
Exons: 2
Source: RefSeq, a predicted model, not a curated record